This 214-nucleotide ribosomal RNA is filed under the name uncultured Glomeromycotina. Its description in RNAcentral is "partial large subunit ribosomal RNA". Lineage: Eukaryota; Fungi; Glomeromycota. The record is from RNAcentral.
CAGUCGUGCAGUCAUCGAUUCAACGGUUUAAAUGCUUGCUUUUGCUUGUGUUUGUCCGUGCAUUUUGGUGUCUGCUGGUCAGCGUCAAUUUCGAUUGUCAUAAAAAGGUCAGAGGGAUGUGGCUCUUUCGGGAGUGUUAUAACCUUUGGCGGUAUGUGGCGAUCGGGAUUGAGGUUUGCACGAUUAUAGCUUCCUGGCCUCUCGUCGACGUCUG